AACCAGCACCUCAAGUGGUCAGGAGGAUUAUUGGGCCUAAAGCAUCCGUAGCCGGCUCUGUAAGUUUUCGGUUAAAUCUAUAUGCUCAACACACGGGCUGCCGGGAAUACUGCAUAGCUAGGGAGUGGGAGAGGUAGACGGUACUCGGUAGGGAGGGGUAAAAUCCUUUGAUCUAUCGAUGACCACCUGUGGCGAAGGCGGUCUACCAGAACACGUUCGACGGUGAGGGAUGAAAGCUGGGGGAGCAAACCGG
This 253-nucleotide ribosomal RNA is filed under the name uncultured archaeon. Its description in RNAcentral is "partial 16S ribosomal RNA". It matches the Rfam family "Archaeal small subunit ribosomal RNA", at positions 474 to 727 of the family's 1478-position model. The record is from RNAcentral.